This 253-nucleotide ribosomal RNA is filed under the name uncultured bacterium. Its description in RNAcentral is "partial 16S ribosomal RNA". It matches the Rfam family "Bacterial small subunit ribosomal RNA", at positions 524 to 776 of the family's 1533-position model. The record is from RNAcentral.
AACGUAGGACACAAACGUUAUCCGGAGUUACUGGGCGUAAAGGGCGUGUAGGCGGAUCGGUAAGUCUACUCUGAAAGCUCCUGGCUAAACUGGGAGAGGCGAGUGGAGACUGUCGGUCUAGAGUGAGGAAGAGGAAAGUGGAAUUCCGCGUGUAGUGGUGAAAUGCGUAGAUAUUGGGAGGAACACCAGUGGCGAAGGCGGCUCACUGGACCGGUACUGACGCUGAGGCGCGAAAGCGUGGGGAGCAAACAGG